Molecule: ribosomal RNA, 301 nt
Filed under: uncultured bacterium
Lineage: Bacteria
Description: partial 16S ribosomal RNA
Rfam family: Bacterial small subunit ribosomal RNA
Source: RNAcentral
CAGCCGCCACGGGAAUACGAAGGGGGCUAGCGUUGUUCGGAAUUACUGGGCGUAAAGCGCACGUAGGCGGAUAUUUAAGUCAGGGGUGAAAUCCCAGAGCUCAACUCUGGAACUGCCUUUGAUACUGGGUAUCUUGAGUAUGGAAGAGGUGAGUGGAAUUCCGAGUGUAGUGGUGAAAUUCGCAGAUAUUCGGAGGAACACCAGUGGCGAAGGCGGCUCACUGGUCCAUUACUGACGCUGAGGUGCGAAAGCGUGGGGAGCAAACAGGAUUAGAUACCCCGGUAGUCCCUGUCUCUUAUAC